AGCAUUAAAGUUUGAGGCUAACUCUUGUUUUGUGGUCAAACAUGCAAAUAUCAAAACACAAACAUACACAAACCAGUGAUCAGGCAAAACACACACUGAUCUCAUUGGCCUGUUGGAUCUUUGCACACACACACACACACACACACACACACACACACACACACACACACACACACACACACACACACACACACACACACACACACACACACACACACACACACACACACACGAUGGCUGGUACUUUGCUUGCGAAGAUCAUAGGAGGAGUUUAGAGUUUUGAUUCCUUUUGCUUUGAGGCAGGCACGUUGGUGUGAGAAUAAGCCAAUCCUUGACCGACAGAUUUUCUGGCAACUGGUGCACUUGUACUCCUGGCCUGUGGCUGUUGUAGCAGUCUGGAUGGAUGCAUCACCCUUUCGCCGGGCACGUUUGUGCAUUUCAGCUGUCCUCUUGGUUUUUGCUGAGCUUGACGGCAGCUUUGUUUACUGCCAAGCGCCAAGCGUUUUUAUCAGCGGCCGUGGACUCCCACGUUUUAGACUCCAGACCUGCCAUGGUCAGCCUGUAAGGUGGGAGCAUACACGCUGAUUAUGGUGGCAAAUUGCCUGUCUUGGAUGGGUAGACGGAGGGACAUCAGGCGGUCUGAGUGGCCGAUUGGAAGGCUUUGGAGUUUCCCAGCGAUGGUGUUCUUGAUCACACACACACACACACACACACACACACACACACACACACACACACACACACACACACACACACACACACACACACACACACACACACACACACACACACACA
This is a long non-coding RNA of Gadus morhua (Atlantic cod), 795 nucleotides long. RefSeq lists it as uncharacterized. The transcript has 2 exons. The record is from RefSeq and is a predicted model, not a curated record. Lineage: Eukaryota; Metazoa; Chordata; Actinopteri; Gadiformes; Gadidae.